This 849-nucleotide non-coding RNA is filed under the name Hyposoter sp. ZJUH_2016018. The record is from RNAcentral. Lineage: Eukaryota; Metazoa; Arthropoda; Insecta; Hymenoptera; Ichneumonidae.
AAAAAAUUUAAUUUUGGUUAAGUUAUUAAAUGAAAAAAUUUAUUAUAUAUAAAUUUUUGUAAAAAAAAAAUAAAUUUAAAAAAUUUAUAUAAAUUGAUUAAUAAAUGAAAUUAAAAAUUUAAGUAAUUAAUAUUUAGAAUAUUUUUUUAAUAUUAAUAAAAUUUGUGCCAGCAAUUGCGGUUAAACAAAUAAUAUAAUUUAAUUUUAUUAAUAUAAAUAAAUUUAAAAUAAUUCUUAAAUUUAAUAAUAAUAAAAUAUUUUUAGUGAAAUAAAAAUGUUUUUAAAAAUUAAAUAUGAUUUAAAAUGAAAAUUUUAUGUUAAUAUAAUAAACUAGGAUUAGAUACCCUAUUAUAAUUAAUUUAAAUAAAUUUAAUUAAAUAAUUAAUUGUUAAAUCAUUAAAUUUAAAAAAUAUUGGCGGUAUUUUAUUUAUUCAGAGGAACUUAUUUUAUAAUUGAUAAUACACGAUAAGAAUAACUUAAAUUUUAAAUUUAUAUAUUGUUGUUUUCAAAAAAUUUUUAAAAAAUAAUUUUUAUAAUAUAAUUUUAAUAAAAUAUUUCAAAUCAAAAUGUAGUUUUAUUUAAGAAAAAAUGAGUUACAAUAAAAAUAAAUUUUGAAAUAUUUAAUUUAAGUUAAGUAUGAAAUUGAAUUUGAAAGUAAAUUUAUUAAAUUAUUUAGAUUGAUUAUAAUUUAAAAUAUGUACAUAUUGCCCGUCAUUUUCAAAUUAAAUUGAAACAAGUCGUAACAAAGUAAAUUUACUGGAAAGUAAAUUUAGAAUUUUUAUUUAAUUAAAUUUAUAUAAUAUAAUAAUUAAUUUUUAAAUUAAAAAUUUUUUUAAAAAAAAAAUUAAA